ACGGUCCUUCGGGAUAGUGGCGCACGGGUGAGUAACGCGUGGGAACGUACCUUUUAGUAUGGGAUAACCUCGGGAAACUGGGAUUAAUACCAUAUACGCCCUUCGGGGGAAAGAUUUAUCGCUAAAAGAUCGGCCCGCGUUAGAUUAGAUAGUUGGUGGGGUAAUGGCCUACCAAGUCUACGAUCUAUAGCUGGUCUGAGAGGAUGAUCAGCCACACUGGAACUGAGACACGGUCCAGACUCC
Molecule: ribosomal RNA, 243 nt
Filed under: uncultured bacterium
Lineage: Bacteria
Description: partial 16S ribosomal RNA
Rfam family: Bacterial small subunit ribosomal RNA
Source: RNAcentral